Molecule: RNA transcript, 1467 nt
Organism: Rhea pennata
Lineage: Eukaryota; Metazoa; Chordata; Aves; Rheiformes; Rheidae
Gene: ARMC10
Gene name: armadillo repeat containing 10
Exons: 8
Source: RefSeq, a predicted model, not a curated record
GUAACCGAAAGGCGGCGAUGAGACGCGAGGAGCCCGAGGCGACGCCGGAUGGGGCGGCGCCGCGCUGCGGCAGCGGCGCGGACAUGGGCCGAUCAUCCGCCAAGAGCACCCCAUACCAUGGAUGCUGCUGAUCUGCAGAAACUUAUUCACUUGCUCCAGUCCACAGAUGAUCCAUUAAUUCAAGAGCAAGCUUUAAUCACUCUCAGCAACAGUGCUGCCUUCUCUGUAAAUCAAGAUAUAAUUCGAAAUUUGGAUGGCCUUUCUAUUAUUGGAAGGAUGCUCUCGGAUUGCAUUCCCAGGGUUAAAGAAAAAGCACUAAAUGCUCUUAAUAAUUUGAGUAUGAACAUUAAAAAUCAGAAAGAGAUACAGGUAUAUAUUAUGCAAAUUUGUAAGGACAUUGAGUCAGCUUCCCUGAACUCUGAUUUGCAGCUAGCUGGACUCAGAUUGUUGACAAAUAUGUCCGUUACCAGUGACUACCACCAUAUGAUGAUAAAUUCAAUUCCAUGCUUUCUUCAUUUGCUUUCAGAAGGAAAUGAAAGGACACAGAUUCAAGUUCUGAAAGUACUUGUGAACCUGUCUGCAAACCCAGCCAUGACAAGACACAUUCUCAGAGCUCAAGUACCAUCAUUGCUGUCUCUUUUUGACAACUGUAUAAACAGAGACAUUCUGCUCAGAACCCUCAUGUUUGCAGCAAAUUUGAAAAAGAAUGUGAACAAUGAAGAUGGCACCAUGCUUCAGAACCAUUACAUCUUCUUCUAAUCUGUAGUCCAGCCUGAAGCUCUUCCUGGAGGUCCUGGAAGAAUCACUGCCCCUGGAACCUCGACCUGAAUUCUGGUAUUUCCUCACUGCUUCUUUGGGAUACUGGUUGCACACAGUUUCAAACCAACAGAGGAAGACUACUAUUCUAUUUAUGAGCAUUACACCGCUUUCUUAACUCAAGAUAACGGAAAACAUCCUUCAGAAUAAGGUGGCUUACCCACAAGAUGGAAAAAAGGGAUUGCCAUCAUUUGUACGGGAGGCUUGGACAGAAAGCACCACACCUCCACAGCACCUCCGUGCUCAGAGACGCUUCACUCUUCCAACUUCAUUCAGAGAAGGGAAAGCACCCACGCGGAAGAGCUACUGAAUGAGACUUUAUGUAGCCAUGCCAAAUUCACGGUGCCAGAAAGUGCUGUAGGCAGAAGGAAAGAACAACACUAUAUGAUGAAUGGGAUGAAGCCAAAUAUGAAUCAAGAGGCAGAGCUCACAUAACUGGUUUUCCAGCACCAAACAUUAAGGACCUCUACUAAUCUACAAAGCAAAAGAGAAAGUGUAGGUUGGGCAUUGGAAACUCAUGCCUUUUGGCAUGGCAAAUAGAUUUAUACCUAGAAAAUAGGUAUAGCCGUUGGGGUAAUAGGUUUUGGAUCAGUCCUUCGUUUACUUUAGCAUUGCUUAUAUGAUUGAAAACUUGAAUACAAGAAAAAAAUA